Molecule: ribosomal RNA, 374 nt
Filed under: uncultured organism
Description: partial 16S ribosomal RNA
Rfam family: Bacterial small subunit ribosomal RNA
Source: RNAcentral
GGGGGGGCAAGCGUUGUUCGGAAUUAUUGGGCGUAAAGGGUGUGUAGGCGGCCAUGUAAGUCUAAGGUGAAAGCCCUCGGCUUAACCGGGGAAGUGCCCUAGAUACUGCAUGGCUUGAGUGCGAGAGAGGAGAGUGGAAUUCCCAGUGUAGCGGUGAAAUGCGUAGAUAUUGGGAAGAACACCAGUGGCGAAGGCGGCUCUCUGGACCGCAACUGACGCUGAAACACGAAAGCCAGGGGAGCAAACGGGGAUUAGAUACCCCGGUAGUCCUGGCCGUAAACGAUGGGCACUAGGUGUGGGAGGUAUCGACCCCCCUUCUGUGCCGUAGCUAACGCAUUAAGUGCCCCCGCCUGGGGAGUACGGUCGCAAGGCUG